This 422-nucleotide ribosomal RNA is filed under the name uncultured bacterium. RNAcentral describes it as "partial 16S ribosomal RNA". It matches the Rfam family "Bacterial small subunit ribosomal RNA", at positions 359 to 774 of the family's 1533-position model. The record is from RNAcentral.
UAUUUUGGACUAUGGGGGACACCCUGAUACCGCCACCGCGUGAGUGUUGUGAGGGCCCUCUGGUUAUAGCGCACUUUUGGCAGAAGAAAAACGGUAUCUCUUAAUACGCGAUACUACUGACGGUCUCUGCAGUAUAAGCCCCGACUCACUACGUGCCAGCAGCCGCGGUAAUACGUAGGGGGCAAGCGUUAUUCGGAAUUACUGGGCGUAAAGGGUGCGUAGGCGGCUCUGAAAGAAAGAUGUGAAAGACCAGGGCUCAACCGUGGAGUUGCAUUUUUAACUGCAGGGCUAGAGUAUGGCAGAGGGUGGUAGAAUUCCAAGUGUAGCAGUGAAAUGCGUAGAUAUGUGGAGGAAUACCGGUGGCGAAGGCAGCUCCCUGGAAGAAUACUGACGCUCAGACACGAAAGCGUGGGGAGCAAACA